Molecule: microRNA precursor, 108 nt
Filed under: Equus caballus (horse)
Lineage: Eukaryota; Metazoa; Chordata; Mammalia; Perissodactyla; Equidae
Description: mir-448 microRNA precursor family
Rfam family: mir-448 microRNA precursor family
Source: Rfam by way of RNAcentral
GCGGGGAGGUUGAACAUCCUGCAUAGUGCUGCCAGGAAAUCCCCAUUUUAUACUAAGAGGGGGCUGGCUGGUUGCAUAUGUAGGAUGUCCCAUCUCCCCGCCCGCUUC